This 612-nucleotide long non-coding RNA is filed under the name Coturnix japonica (Japanese quail). RNAcentral describes it as "lncRNA (ENSCJPG00005013049.1)". The record is from RNAcentral. Lineage: Eukaryota; Metazoa; Chordata; Aves; Galliformes; Phasianidae.
UUUUAGGCAUGCUUUGUGCUUUAGCAUGAGUUCAGUCAUUUUGUGUUUUGCAGUGCUGUGGCUCUGUAACCCUCUGCUGGACUAAACCUGAAGUUUGCUGAGCUGCACCUCACUGCAUGGUAUUGUGUGUGGACAUCUUCAGAAGGCAAAGAACAGAGCAAGCCAUUGCUUCUACUGACAGCGCUGAAAAGGGCAUCUUCAAGGAAGAAUUCUCGUGGGCACCUGGGAUGAAGGUGAUGAAUGUGCUGUACCGGGAUGAUAGCAUUCUUCCCCUGCCCAGUUGACAAAAGUGGAUGAAUUAUGUUCUCCGGUGUAAGGAUAUGUAUACACAUGCACGUAUAUUUAUACAGCUUUUCAAAGUGCUGCUUUUUAAAAGGACGUUGUAAAAGUUUUAUCCAUUUCUAGUAAGUUGAUACGCUACAACAGUUCCAUGCAUUUACUUUCUGUUUUUUUUUCUGUUUUUGUUUUUUUAAACCAGCAUUUAUUCUUUAAUUAGCUGCUGCUAAUUAAAAAUAUAAAGUAAAAUCCAGGCUGUUGUAAAAACUAGUGAUAGUCUAUGGAUUAACUGAGUGAGGACAAAUAGAAGUUAAGCUCAUUAAGGCUUAUGGGGGU